RNAcentral lists this ribosomal RNA (191 nucleotides) under uncultured bacterium. RNAcentral's name for it is "partial 16S ribosomal RNA". It matches the Rfam family "Bacterial small subunit ribosomal RNA", at positions 1312 to 1500 of the family's 1533-position model. The record is from RNAcentral.
UCGACUACAUGAAGCUGGAAUCGCUAGUAAUCGCGGAUCAGAAUGCCGCGGUGAAUACGUUCCCGGGUCUUGUACACACCGCCCGUCACACCAUGGGAGUCAGUAACGCCCGAAGCCGGUGACCCAACCAAACCUGGAGGGAGCCGUCGAAGGCGGGACGGAUGACUGGGGUGAAGUCGUAACAAGGUACC